CUACAUCAAAGAAGUUCGUGAAGGACUUCAAGUCGCAGCCUCAAAUCUCUAGGUACGGACCUGAGCACAAAUUCAUGAAGGACAUCAUGCCGCAACCUCAAAUUUCGAGCUACGAUGACAACGGUAUCAAGCUAAGCAAGGUUGAAGAAGGUAGAUUCGUUAGAGACAUCGAGUCACAACCUCAAAUCUCCAACUAUGAUGGCGAUGCUAUGUCAAAUAAAUUUGUUAAGGACAUCGAGCCGCAACCUCAAAUCUCGAGCUAUGGAACCCCGCACAAAUUCACAAAGGACAUCAUGCCACAACCUCAAAUUUCGAGCUACGAUGAGAAGGGUGUCGAGCGGAGCAAGGUCGAAGAAGGUACUGGAAAAUUCGUUAGAGACCUCGAGUCACAGCCUCAAAUCUCCAACUACGACGACAAUAAUACCGCCCCGAAUAAGUUUGCAAAGGAUUUGAGGUCGGAACCUCAAAUCUCCAACUACGACGACAAUAAUACCGCCCCGAAUAAGUUUGCAAAGGAUUUGAGGUCGCAACCUCAAAUCUCUAACUAUGGAGAAAAGAUGGGAAACAAAUUCACGAAGGACAUCAUGCCACAACCUCAGAUUUCAAGCUAUGACGAGAAUGGCGUUGUAGGAAGCAAGAAAGAUGAUCUCGCCCAAGAACUAGUCAAGGUUGUGGAGCAGAUAGCCAUGGUUGUAGUGUAAGAGCUGGAUGAAGAAUUAAUGGUCCGCAGCCUAAAAUUAGCCAAGAUGAUGAUCAUUCUAUUGUACCCUGUUUUUAGUUUCAGUUAAUGCCCUGGAAUAAUGAUAAUUGUCAUGUAGUUUGCAUGUGUCUUAAUUAAUUUUCACAAAUAAUAAUAAUAAUUAUGAUCGCACGGACUUUAGUUUGU
This 886-nucleotide long non-coding RNA is filed under the name Linum usitatissimum (flax). RNAcentral describes it as "long non-coding RNA (LUSI_LNC008094)". Lineage: Eukaryota; Viridiplantae; Streptophyta; Magnoliopsida; Malpighiales; Linaceae. The record is from RNAcentral.